RNAcentral lists this ribosomal RNA (764 nucleotides) under uncultured Anoxybacillus sp. Its description in RNAcentral is "bacterial SSU rRNA". It matches the Rfam family "Bacterial small subunit ribosomal RNA", at positions 28 to 774 of the family's 1533-position model. The record is from RNAcentral. Lineage: Bacteria; Bacillati; Bacillota; Bacilli; Caryophanales; Anoxybacillaceae.
GACGAACGCUGGCGGCGUGCUAAUACAUGCAAGUCGAGCGGACGAAUCGAAAGCUUGCUUUUGAUUCGUUAGCGGCGGACGGGUGAGUAACACGUGGGCAACCUGCCCUGUAGACGGGGAUAACACCGAGAAAUCGGUGCUAAUACCGGAUAACACGAAAUGUCGCAUGACGCUUCGUUGAAAGACGGCGCAAGCUGUCGCUACAGGAUGGGCCCGCGGCGCAUUAGCUAGUUGGUGAGGUAACGGCUCACCAAGGCGACGAUGCGUAGCCGACCUGAGAGGGUGAUCGGCCACACUGGGACUGAGACACGGCCCAGACUCCUACGGGAGGCAGCAGUAGGGAAUCUUCCGCAAUGGACGAAAGUCUGACGGAGCAACGCCGCGUGAGCGAAGAAGGUCUUCGGGUCGUAAAGCUCUGUUGUUAGGGAAGAACAAGUAACGCAGUAACUGGCGUUACCGUGACGGUACCUAACGAGAAAGCCACGGCUAACUACGUGCCAGCAGCCGCGGUAAUACGUAGGUGGCAAGCGUUGUCCGGAAUUAUUGGGCGUAAAGCGCGCGCAGGCGGUUCCUUAAGUCUGAUGUGAAAGCCCACGGCUCAACCGUGGAGGGUCAUUGGAAACUGGGGGACUUGAGUGCAGAAGAGGAGAGCGGAAUUCCACGUGUAGCGGUGAAAUGCGUAGAGAUGUGGAGGAACACCAGUGGCGAAGGCGGCUCUCUGGUCUGUAACUGACGCUGGGGCGCGAAAGCGUGGGGAGCAAACA